CCGACCUGAGAGGGUGACCGGCCACAUUGGGACUGAGACACGGCCCAGACUCCUACGGGAGGCAGCAGUGGGGAAUAUUGCACAAUGGGCGAAAGCCUGAUGCAGCGACGCCGCGUGAAGGAUGAAGUAUUUCGGUAUGUAAACUUCUAUCAGCAGGGAAGAAAAUGACGGUACCUGACUAAGAAGCCCCGGCUAACUACGUGCCAGCAGCCGCGGUAAUACGUAGGGGGCAAGCGUUAUCCGGAUUUACUGGGUGUAAAGGGAGCGUAGACGGCUGUGCAAGUCUGAAGUGAAAGGCAUGGGCUCAACCUGUGGACUGCUUUGGAAACUGUGCAGCUAGAGUGUCGGAGAGGUAAGUGGAAUUCCUAGUGUAGCGGUGAAAUGCGUAGAUAUUAGGAGGAACACCAGUGGCGAAGGCGGCUUACUGGACGAUGACUGACGUUGAGGCUCGAAAGCGUGGGGAGCA
Molecule: ribosomal RNA, 466 nt
Filed under: uncultured Lachnospiraceae bacterium
Lineage: Bacteria; Bacillati; Bacillota; Clostridia; Lachnospirales; Lachnospiraceae
Description: bacterial SSU rRNA
Rfam family: Bacterial small subunit ribosomal RNA
Source: RNAcentral